AAACAGAGGAGUAGCAAAAUGGGAGGAAGGUGCUGUGACUAAAUGAAGGAAGGCUGAGGGGUUAAAAUCAUUGCUGGGUGAUUUCACCACUACUGCCCCAUAUUCAUACUCUCGGUAAAUGAAUGAGGAGAGCCCCAUGUGGGAUUACAAACUUGCUGGAAAUGGAUGAGAAACCUUCUGCUCUGCUGGAGUUUAUCUUGAGUGUGCCUUAAAAUUCCAUUUCAUGGAGAACUGUGCGUGGUUGAAUUUUGAUUGAUUACUCAAUUAACUGAUGUAUUGGUAGAGUGAUUAAGAAAGAAGACUUUGGGAUCAGACCAACCUGGUUUUGAAUUCAAGCUCAGCAACUUACUAGGUAAGGAGGAGAAAAGAAAGAAGGAAAAAUUGGAAAGAUAAAUGGGGUCUUUCCAGUGAAGCCUCCAGGCCUCCAGACUGGAACUUAUACCACUGAUUCUUCUGAAUCUUAGGCCUUUGGACUUGGACUGGAACUAAACCAUCAGCUCUUCUUGUUCUACCACUUGCAGACUGUAUGUCUUGGGACAUGUCAGCCUCUGUAAUCACAAACACAAGAAAUAAGAAGACCAUUUUGAGAAGAACAGAGAGUAGCCUUAAGAAAAUCCCUGUCGCAAGCACUCUGGGAUUUGGACUCAAAUGCUAAUUAUACAGAACCACUUGGGUGCCCAGCUGCUGUCCAUUCUCUACACUUAUCCCACCUGAUGGAAGGCUGUUAAGAAAAACAUCACUGCAAUGCCUAAUAAACAGACAUGGGUCCCAGACCCAAUAAGAGUGAAACCAUCCCCCUAUUUAAAUGAAAUUAUGGCUGAUGAGAAAGACAAAUUAAUUUCUCUGUCCCUAGUAUUACACAAAACUUUGGAUGCUGCCAUUGUUACAAUUUUAUUUUCCCCAGGAGCUCAGAGUCCCACCUUCAUUCUUUUUGUUUAAUGCUUAAGCUUGCCUGUCCACCUAUGGAAGACUAGAAUGAGCAAAGACCAUGUAUUCAAUGAUCUGUAAAUCUAACAGGAAACAAUAUAAUAAAUAUAUUGUGUUUGCUAACCAAA
RNAcentral lists this long non-coding RNA (1055 nucleotides) under Homo sapiens (human). RNAcentral describes it as "novel transcript". The record is from RNAcentral. Lineage: Eukaryota; Metazoa; Chordata; Mammalia; Primates; Hominidae.